AACUUUUAACAACGGAUCUCUUGGUUCUAGCAUCGAUGAAGAACGCAGCGAAAUGCGAUAAGUAGUGUGAAUUGCAGAAUUCAGUGAAUCAUCGAAUUUUUGAACGCACAUUGCGCCCCUCGGUAUCCCGGGGGGCAUGCCUAUUCGAGCGUCAUUUCUACUAUUCAAGUUUUCUUUUUAACUUGGUUUUAGGUAUUAUAUUAUUUAUAUACCUUAAAUUUAGGCGGCAAUAUAAUCUAGCUUAAGCAUAGCAGUAAAACAUUUGCGAAAAGGUAGUAUUAUAUUUCCCGGAUAGCAUAAUAUUAAAGUUUGACCUCGGAUUAGGUAGGGAUACCCGCUGAACUUAAGCAUAUCAAUAAGCGGAGGCU
Molecule: unclassified non-coding RNA, 368 nt
Filed under: uncultured Dothideomycetes
Lineage: Eukaryota; Fungi; Ascomycota; Dothideomycetes
Description: sequence contains ITS2
Rfam family: 5.8S ribosomal RNA (bases 1-154)
Source: RNAcentral